Gadus morhua (Atlantic cod) is the source of this 57-nucleotide microRNA precursor. The record is from Ensembl. Lineage: Eukaryota; Metazoa; Chordata; Actinopteri; Gadiformes; Gadidae.
AGUUUUGCGUAGUUGCUCUGCAAGAAAAUUGAGUUGUGCAAAUCUAUGCAAAACUGA